CAAAAUAAAAGAGUAUAUUAAAAGCAAAUAUUAGUAGAAGUGAGAAGUAGCUAGUGGGUAAAAGAGAGAAGAAGUAAAGAGCUUUAACCAGAUAUCUAUAAGUGAGUUAAUAA
RNAcentral lists this unclassified non-coding RNA (113 nucleotides) under Entamoeba dispar. RNAcentral's name for it is "ITS2". Lineage: Eukaryota; Evosea; Mastigamoebida; Endamoebidae. The record is from RNAcentral.